Equus caballus (horse) is the source of this 1103-nucleotide non-coding RNA. The record is from RefSeq and is a predicted model, not a curated record. NCBI's taxonomy places the organism in Eukaryota, Metazoa, Chordata, Mammalia, Perissodactyla, Equidae.
UCAGAGGCGGCGCGCACUGACCCAGGCGGCGGGAGCGCGUGCUGCCGGGCGGCCCGGUCCGCGGCCCGGGGUCCGCACACUCACCGGACGGAGGCUGAACUCACCACCGACCCGUCCGCCCGGAGUGUGGGUCCCGCGAGGCCCGGGCGUCUGAGCGACGCGAACCGGGCGGCGCUGCGCCAUUCACACUGGGAGGUGCGGGCGCCGCGCGCGCUGCGGGUCCUCCGCGCCCGGUGGCUGGUCCCCAGGCAGCGGAGAAGGCCAUGGUGGACACCAAAGAGGAGGGGAGAGCGAAGGAAUUCUUCGCGGUUAGUUUGGCUGUGGGGCCGGUGGACUGGGGAAGCGGAGCUGACUCCCCGAGGAAUUUCCAGACCAGCCUGAACUCCAGCAGGUUGUGGGGUGGCUCUGUGUGGAACCCCACGGCAGCCACUUCUCAGCUGCAUAGCUAACCCUCUAUACCUAGACCCUUACCUGUGAACGGUGGCACCUACCCCGCAGGGUGGCGUGAGGAGUAAUGAGGCUGUGCCAGGUGCACCCACCUUUGUUCUUCGUUGGAAGGCCACGCCUGUUCGCAAGUACCGUCUGAGGACACGUGGAGCCCGUAACGCCCAUCAUUGGAGCAACAAUGCUGGACCGAGUUCUGAAGAUUCUCGUCAAAAUCCAGAGGGAUUGUAAAUUGAAACUUCCUAAAUGAGUUUUCCUUGUUGAUUUGCUGCUGCCACACAAUAUUUGGUUAAUUGCGGAUGGUCUCAAGCUGUGCUCAUCGCUGCCGCGGCCGCCGGAGCCCCAGCCCGCUGCCACAGGACGGUUGGCACGCUCAGGAGCAGGCUCUCAGCGCCACGAGGACAGGAGCGUCCCAGAGUCCCGGACGGAUGGGCAGCUGGACGCCAGGCAAGGGAGGACAGGGUCCCACAUGAAACACCUGGCGCCUUCACAAGGGAGUCAGCAUCGUGGCACAAGAAACAACCUGAGCUGGAACCCCAGUGACAAGAAUAAAGCCAGCACAGUUUCAUUGUCUUUUUUUUUUUUUUUACAGUCAGAUACUGCCUUACGGUUUCUCUGUACUUUGAAAUUGCCACUAAAAUUUUUGUUGCCAUAUAAAA